AGGACGAACGCUGGCGGCGCGCCUAACACAUGCAAGUCGAGCGCGAAAGGACUUCGGUCCGAGUAGAGCGGCGCACGGGUGAGUAACACGUGAGUAAUCUGCCCCCGAGCCUGGAAUAACAUUCCGAAAGGAGUGCUAAUGCCGGAUAAGACCACGUCGACCUCGGUCGAUGUGAGAAAAGGCGGGGUCCGAAAGGACCUGUCAUUUGGGGAUGAGCUCGCGGCCUAUCAGCUAGUUGGCGGGGUAAUGGCCCACCAAGGCGAAGACGGGUAGCUGGUUUGAGAGGAUGAUCAGCCACACUGGAACUGAGACACGGUCCAGACUUCUACGGAAGGCAGCAGUGGGGAAUUUGCGCAAUGGGCGAAAGCCUGACGCAGCGACGCCGCGUGCGGGAUGACGGCCUUCGGGUUGUAAACCGCUUUCAGCAGGGACGAUUAUGACGGUACUGCAGAACGAAGCCCGGCCAACUACGUGCCAGCAGCCGC
RNAcentral lists this ribosomal RNA (485 nucleotides) under uncultured bacterium. RNAcentral describes it as "SSU rRNA". It matches the Rfam family "Bacterial small subunit ribosomal RNA", at positions 26 to 518 of the family's 1533-position model. The record is from RNAcentral.